GCAGGGAGGUUCGACUCGAGCGAAGCGAGAGAACGUUGCGCCAGCAACGGCCCGCAGGGCGAGCCACGAAGUGGCGAGUAAUCCUCUAUCACCGACCA
This 98-nucleotide small RNA is filed under the name Escherichia coli. Its description in RNAcentral is "partial RtT sRNA". It matches the Rfam family "RtT RNA", at positions 35 to 130 of the family's 130-position model. From Rfam's summary of the family: This family represents a bacterial cis-regulatory element known as RtT RNA. The record is from RNAcentral. Lineage: Bacteria; Pseudomonadati; Pseudomonadota; Gammaproteobacteria; Enterobacterales; Enterobacteriaceae.